RNAcentral lists this transfer RNA (65 nucleotides) under Pseudotibiozus cerasopus. RNAcentral's name for it is "tRNA-Lys". The record is from RNAcentral. Lineage: Eukaryota; Metazoa; Arthropoda; Diplopoda; Spirostreptida; Spirostreptidae.
CAUUAGGUGGCCGAAAGUUAAGCACUGGUCUCUUAAACCAAUCAAUAGUAUUUUUACUCCUAAUG